This is a small nucleolar RNA of Pungitius pungitius (ninespine stickleback), 138 nucleotides long. RefSeq annotates it as small nucleolar RNA SNORA5. The record is from RefSeq and is a predicted model, not a curated record. The transcript has a single exon. Lineage: Eukaryota; Metazoa; Chordata; Actinopteri; Perciformes; Gasterosteidae.
UGCAGCCGUGUCAAAUUCAGUGCCUCCUCCUCUGUGGAUGCCACUGGCCAAAUUGGCUGCUACAGUGAAGGUGUAGUUCAUGGGCCCCAGGGUGCUCCAUCAUGGCCACUGGGGAUAAAUAAUGUACUACACACAAAU